Molecule: small RNA, 107 nt
Filed under: Marmota monax (woodchuck)
Lineage: Eukaryota; Metazoa; Chordata; Mammalia; Rodentia; Sciuridae
Source: RNAcentral
GCUGAGUGUGGUGGGGCAUGCCUGUAAUUCCAGUGACUUGGGAGGCUGAGGCAGGAAGAUAGCAAGUUCCAGGCCAAACUUGGCAACUUAGCAAGACCUUGUCUCAA